This 482-nucleotide ribosomal RNA is filed under the name uncultured bacterium. Its description in RNAcentral is "partial 16S ribosomal RNA". It matches the Rfam family "Bacterial small subunit ribosomal RNA", at positions 30 to 507 of the family's 1533-position model. The record is from RNAcentral.
AUUGGACGCUGGCGGCAUGCCUUACACAUGCAAGUCGAACGGUAACAGGUCUUCGGAUGCUGACGAGUGGCGAACGGGUGAGUAAUACAUCGGAACGUGCCCGAUCGUGGGGGAUAACGCAGCGAAAGCUGUGCUAAUACCGCAUACGAUCUACGGAUGAAAGCGGGGGAUCGCAAGACCUCGCGCGGACGGAGCGGCCGAUGGCAGAUUAGGUAGUUGGUGGGAUAAAAGCUUACCAAGCCGACGAUCUGUAGCUGGUCUGAGAGGACGACCAGCCACACUGGGACUGAGACACGGCCCAGACUCCUACGGGAGGCAGCAGUGGGGAAUUUUGGACAAUGGGCGCAAGCCUGAUCCAGCCAUGCCGCGUGCAGGAUGAAGGCCUUCGGGUUGUAAACUGCUUUUGUACGGAACGAAAAAGCUCUCUCUAAUACAGGGGGUGAAUGACGGUACCGUAAGAAUAAGCACCGGCUAACUACGUG